This 496-nucleotide ribosomal RNA is filed under the name uncultured soil bacterium. Its description in RNAcentral is "bacterial SSU rRNA". It matches the Rfam family "Bacterial small subunit ribosomal RNA", at positions 26 to 518 of the family's 1533-position model. The record is from RNAcentral.
AGAUUGAACGCUGGCGGCAUGCUUUACACAUGCAAGUCGAGCGGCAGCGCGGGGGCAACCCUGGCGGCGAGCGGCGAACGGGUGAGGAAUACAUCGGAACGUACCCGGAAGUGGGGGAUAACGCCGCGAAAGCGGCGCUAAUACCGCAUAUUCUGUACGCAGGAAAGUGGGGGACUCGCAAGGGCCUCACGCUUUCGGAGCGGCCGAUGUCCGAUUAGCUAGUUGGUGGGGUAAAGGCUUACCAAGGCGACGAUCGGUAGCUGGUCUGAGAGGAUGAUCAGCCACACUGGGACUGAGACACGGCCCAGACUCCUACGGGAGGCAGCAGUGGGGAAUUUUGGACAAUGGGGGCAACCCUGAUCCAGCCAUGCCGCGUGCGGGAAGAAGGCCUUCGGGUGUAAACCGCUUUAGUCGGAAGAAAGGCAACUCCUAAUAGGGUUGUUCGUUGACGGUUACCGGCGGAAUAAGCACCGGCUAACUACGUGCCAGCAGCCGC